Long non-coding RNA from Dermacentor silvarum, 875 nucleotides. RefSeq lists it as uncharacterized. The record is from RefSeq and is a predicted model, not a curated record. NCBI's taxonomy places the organism in Eukaryota, Metazoa, Arthropoda, Arachnida, Ixodida, Ixodidae. The transcript has 3 exons.
GUGGUAUUCACGCGUAAGCAACACUGUGAUCCCGUGCAGCAUGACCGGAAGGGCUCAGGCCGGCGCGGUGAGCGUUCCGCUUCCGGCCGCCAUAUCGUUGGGGGAAUGCUUUCGUUUCGUGGUGCUUUGAAGUGCAGCAGCAGGCAUUGCAAUCUCAAGGGCCUCGGCAAUCAUUUUAAUCAUGGUUAAUUGCGCUGUGUUCGGAUGCAAUAACGAGUCGCGGUGGAAAGCUGACUCUGGUGAGAACACGAAGAAGCUUAGCUUUUUUCUGUGCCGAAUGUUGUUCGUUGGCAGUGCAGCCAGACCUUAGAGAUCUCAACGAAGCGUCGAGCGGAAUGGUUUCGUUGCCUCUACCGGGGUGACAUUAACACAGACGCUACCCACUACAAAGUCUGCAGCGAGCACUUCGUUUCUGGCAGGCCAUCCUACUUAAUGGAUCUGACGAAUCCGGACUGGGCGCCAAGCUUGCACCUAGGGUAUGACACAAAGUCAACAACUCGGUCUGAAGAAAGGCACCAGCGACGUUGCAAGAGGGCUGCGACCCUUGACUACAAUGCUGAAUGCGCAGCAGAGCGCUGUGAACAGUACUGUCACAAGUAAAAUGGCUUAUUCAUACAAGGUGAAUAUUUUCUUUAAUGACAUUCAGCAUCUUAACAUUUUUGUUUUUAUGCAGGCACACCACUUGCAAGCCGGCAUCCAGGAAGAUUCUUUCAAGAUGACUAUCUGCUGGUGUCCACACAAAAAAGUCGCAAUAGCUGCGCUGGCAAACAAAACGCUGCAUUUGUAUUUUUUGCGUGUAGUAAGCAUGUUGUCGUUUCUGAUUCAGUGUAUUAUCACUAGCAGCAACUUCUAAGCAGCCACUUUUCUGGGUCACA